RNAcentral lists this small RNA (114 nucleotides) under Mytilus galloprovincialis (Mediterranean mussel). It matches the Rfam family "Potassium channel RNA editing signal". From Rfam's summary of the family: This family represents a group of sequences related to the human potassium channel Kv1.1 hairpin element which directs the efficient modification of an adenosine to inosine by an adenosine deaminase acting on RNA (ADAR). The record is from RNAcentral. Lineage: Eukaryota; Metazoa; Mollusca; Bivalvia; Mytilida; Mytilidae.
GUUGGGUACGGAGAUAUGUACCCCAAGUCGUGGCUUGGCUACAUUGUAGGCAGUCUUUGUGCUGUAUUGGGGAUAAUUAUGAUACAAAUGCCCGUACCGAUUAUUGUUAGCAAC